GACAGAGGUGCCAAGCGUUAUUCGGAAUCACUGGGCUUAAAGAGUCCGUAGGCGGCAUGUUAGGUGAGGUGUGAAAUCCCCCGGCUCAACCGAGGAAUUGCGCUUCAAACCGGCGUGCUUGAGGAAGAUAGAGGUGAGCGGAACUGAUGGUGGAGCGGUGAAAUGCGUUGAUAUCAUCAGGAACACCAGAGGCGAAGGCGGCUCACUGGGUCUCUUCUGACGCUGAGGAACGAAAGCUAGGGGAGCAAACGGG
This 253-nucleotide ribosomal RNA is filed under the name uncultured bacterium. Its description in RNAcentral is "partial 16S ribosomal RNA". It matches the Rfam family "Bacterial small subunit ribosomal RNA", at positions 524 to 776 of the family's 1533-position model. The record is from RNAcentral.